Molecule: non-coding RNA, 3194 nt
Organism: Oryctolagus cuniculus (rabbit)
Lineage: Eukaryota; Metazoa; Chordata; Mammalia; Lagomorpha; Leporidae
Source: RefSeq, a predicted model, not a curated record
GAAGGCGUUCAGGUCAAAGCAGCAGGCAUCGCACAGGAUGCAGCCGGCGCACCUGGGGUGCUGCUGCUGGUCGAGGAACUGGCGUCCGAGGGACAGUGGCCGGCCACGGAGACACGCUCGGGCAGUAGGGAGCCGCAGAGGGCUUCUGAGGAGGGGAGCAGUCUGUUGCAGGUAUAGAGAGGUAGGUCUGACAGCGGCGUGAAAACACGGUGGGGGAAGGAUGAGAGAUGUUGCCUUUUAGUCUAGAGGUGAUGGGGUUAAACCAGAGCGUGUGUGACACAGGAACACACAGGUGAUAACACGGAGACACGCAGGUGACAUGGGAACACACAGGUGAUAACACGGAGACACGCAGGUGACACGGGAACACACAGGUGAUAACACAGAGACAUGCAGGUGACAUAGGAACACACAGGUGAUAACACAGAGACACGCAGGUGACACAGGGACACACAGGUGAUAACACGGAGACACGCAGGUGACACGGGAACACACAGGUGAUAACACGGAGACACGCAGGUGACACGGGAACACACAGGUGAUAACACGGAGACACGCAGGUGACACGGGAACACACAGGUGAUAACACGGAGACACGCAGGUGACAUGGGAGCACACAGGUGACACACGGGAACACGGAGCAGACCUACUACUGAGGGGAGAGCAGGUGCUGACCCGUCCAUGUGGAGGGACACCACUCAGUGGACGAGUUCCUCCCCCAGGCCACACUGCCUGUGCGUCCCCCGGUGGGAGAGAGUCGCAGACGACACCACGCGUGCCUGUCUCUCUCAGUAUUGUGACAGGAACACACGGGGAAGAGGAGACACAGCACUGCCCCAGAGAAGCAGCGGAACUGCAGCGCACCGGAGCGUGUGUGUGUUGAGCGUCACGAAGACACACGUGAGCAUCACGGGCGCCCAGGGCAGCUUUUGACUGGCAUGGCUACCGGAAGACGGCGGCUCUGACGGCAGGGGCGCGGCACGAAAGUUUCCUGCAAGUCGCGACCUGGGGAGUGCACGGUGGGCCCAGGCCCCGUCGCCCAGCCCUGCGGACGUCAGCGUCCACCCGCCUUCGCCCCCGCUCCCUCCUCACACUGGGUGGGUUUGAAGCAAACUCAGCCAUCGUGCUUUGUUCAUAAAUCUCGAAUUGGGAUAUCUUUGAGCAGGGGACCCCAAGCAGAGCCAAAACACUGGUGCCACACCUGCGAGAGGUUUAGUGCUCCUUGCCGCGAGCACGCGCCAGUCAUGGUCCGUUCUCGGAUGCCCACCCCGUUCUUCAGCUGGCGGGUUGAUAGCUAAGGGCCAGGUCCUGCGUUCGUGGCUGUGUGUCCUGGAUUUCCCAUCAUCGGCAUAGGGCCUGUCUGUCUUUUUCCCCUUGCACUUUAGCUGUUAAGGAAAUCAGGGUAUUCACACGCCUUCGAAGGGCGCGUGAGCUCUGACAGUGUCUGCAGAGGCUUCCGGUUUUCCCAUCUCGAGGGUGGGUGCUGCCAGCCUCUUGUAGGCAGAGGCCAGGAGGCCGUAAACGCCUCGCAGCGCACAGGGUGGCCCCGCAGAAGUCCGUCCAUGGGGCUGCGGCACAGAAACCUGCAGCUGCCCCCGCAGCCCAGGUUUGCAGAUGGCGUCCCUGGGUGGUCCACAGGCCCCCUGUCCUUGUACUUUCUGGAAACUGGCGGUCAGACCCCGAGACCUGGUCAGGUGGAAGCUGGGCUUGGAGACGGCAGCACUUAUUUCUGUGUCACGGGGUGUCACGUCGUCUCUGCCACGGCAGCGGUGACCAUUUGGUCCAUCCAUUAUAAAUUGUAGACGGGGACAAGCUUGGGAGACCGGCGACUGGGGUUGCCUGCUUGUUGGACGUAGGGAGGAGGAGUGGGAUCCACCUGGAGUUGAAGGCCGUGGACCCCGUGAGGCUCGAGCCUGCAGCAUCACUCCUUCUGAGCACUAAACCAAGAGCGCUGUGACACCAUGGAAGCCCUCCGAGGGUGGGAGGCAGCUGCCCACCGCGUUCCGCCCUGGCCCUGCCCCCCUCCACUCCACGGGCACCCAGGACGGGGCCAUGGCCGUCACUCCCCUAUCAGAGGACUCGGGGUGGCGGGAGUGGGAGAUCUGUGUGAGUGCUGGCUGUGGGCAGCCGUGUCGGGUGCUGAGUAGGAGCGUCUGCUCAUGCUGCCGGUGGUCCGGGCAGCUUCCUCUGUCCUCCGCCUGGUGACCCUGCUGGCCUUCCUGCUGUCCCCAGGCCUGCAGCCUUCCAUCAGGGUGAUUCUUGGCAGACUUCGUCUUUCUUUUCUUUAUUGUUUUACAAUUUAUUUUGUUUGUUUCAAAGGCAAAAUUACAGGAGAGAGAGAGAAAUUGAUUGAUUGCUCUUCCGUCUGCUAGUUUACUCCCUAAAUGGCUGCAAUACCCUGGGGAAGCCAGGAGCCUGGAACUCCAUCCUGGCUUCUCAUGUAGGUGGCCGGGGACCGUGCACUUGGGCCAUCAUCUGCUGCUUUCCCAGGCACAUUAGCAGAGAGCUGCGUUGGAAGUGGAGCAGCCAGGACUUGAACCGGUGCCUGUGUGGGAUGCCAGUGCUGCUGAAUCUGCUGCCGAUGCUGGCCCCUGCAGAUCUCUUUUUCACACAGAUACACACAAAGCUGUCAGAUGGCUCAGCUCAGGGCUGUCAGACAAGCAGAUGUGCUGGGCUCGUCAUGCUCUCCCACAGGGGGGCCAGGGACCCAGGCACUUGACCAUCCCCGCAGCCUCCCAGGGUGACGUUAGAGGAAGCUGGAAUCAGGAGCCAGACCUGAGACUCCACCCCAGGCACUCUGAUGUGGGUUGUGGGCGUCUUGAGUGAGAGGCUGAAAAGCCUACUCCCACCCACAGUUUUAGAAAGCGUUGUGGAUCCGGGAUCUGCCUGCUUCCUGCACAGGCCCGCCAGCUCCUGGGGCUGCUGCUCCGCGCGGCCGACCUCCCCAGCCGGGACCUCUCUGCCGCUGGAGCCGGUGGUGGUUUGGCCUCCAGGAGGGCACCCCCACCCGCGCCUGCUGCCCACGCAGGACAGUGCUGUCUCCUCUCUCCCUCGUCCCUGCCAGGCAGCCUGGUUCACUCCUGUAGCUUCAGUCACCAUUUCGAUACCAUGGACUCCGGAGUCCUGUCCUGCUCCGACGGGGGUGUCCUGGGUGCCCCUGGAGACAGGAGGUGAGGAAGGCCAUCCGUGCCACA